UGAGGGUGAGGCCGUUAAUCGGAUUACUGGGCGUAAAGCGUGCGUAGGCGGCUUGUUAGUCGGAUGUGAAAUCCCUGGGCUUAACUUAGGAAUUGCAUUUGAUACUGGGAAGCUAGAGUAUGGGAGAGGAUGGUAGAAUUCCAGGUGUAGCGGUGAAAUGCGUAGAGAUCUGGAGGAAUACCGAUGGCGAAGGCAGCCUUCUGGCCUAAUACUGACACUGAGGUACGAAAGCGUGGGGAGCAAACAGGAUUAGAUACCCUGGUAGUCCAUGCCGUAAACGAUGUCUACUAGCCGUUGGGGCCUUUGAGGAUUUAGUGACGCAGCUAACGCAAUAAGUAGACCGCCUGGGGAGUACGGUCGCAAGACUAAA
RNAcentral lists this ribosomal RNA (370 nucleotides) under uncultured Acinetobacter sp. Its description in RNAcentral is "bacterial SSU rRNA". It matches the Rfam family "Bacterial small subunit ribosomal RNA", at positions 527 to 898 of the family's 1533-position model. The record is from RNAcentral. Lineage: Bacteria; Pseudomonadati; Pseudomonadota; Gammaproteobacteria; Moraxellales; Moraxellaceae.